CCACUUAAACUCAACAUUUUCCCGGGGCAGCGAACACUGAAUGACCUGCUCAAAACCAACAGCAAGGUCCGCUAUGAGGGAGUCGAAAACAAAACAACAAAAUGCACGUGGUAGAAACAAACUAACUUCUGAUCAUUCUGGAUGCAAAUGGAGCAGUGUCAUGGUGUCGUCUGUCAUUAGUUAGAGAAACGAUUCUUGCUGUUUUAAUCUGUCUGAAAUGUCCCGCUCAUCUGUCGCGUUAUAGUUGGAAACAACAUUUGUCGCUCCCGGUACUCGAUUGCAACAGCACACUGCCUGCUGUUAAAUAGUACGUAAUCCUCCAGCUCAUGCAUUAUGUUUCUCCACAUAACCUCCUGUGGAGGAGUCAACAGAAAGUCCAGCAGAGAAUUCCGGACAGAGAAAAGGAGCUGAAGGAUCUCAAAUAAACUAUAGCAUCUCUUAUUUAACCUUUAUUUAACUAGGCAAGUCAGUUAGGAACAAAUUCUUAUUUAUAAUGACAGCCUACCCCGGACAAACCCGGACGACGCUGGUCUAAUUCCUUGGUUUUAAUUUCUGUCCUAACAGCGGACUGCACACGCAUCAGUAAAGGUCAGUGAUAUGAUCUUUACUGAGAAAAUGAACCACAUUGAGAGAAGGCGCUCUGAUGUGAAGGUGGGUGCUCUGAUGUGAAAGUAGGUGCUCUGAUGUGAAGGUAGGUGCUCUGAUGUGAAGGUGGUGCUCUGAGGUGAAGGUAGGUGCUCUGAUGUGAAGGUAGGUGCUCUGAGGUGAAGGUAGGUGCUCUGAUGUGAAGGUGGGUGCUCUGAGGUGAAGGUAGGUGCUCUGAGGUGAAGGAAGGUGCUCUGAGGUGAAGGUAGGUGCUCUGAUGUGAAGGUAGGUGCUCUGAUGUGAAAGUGGGUGCUCUGAGGUGAAAGUGGGUGCUCUGAGGUGAAAGUGGGUGCUCUGAGGUGAAGGUGGGUGCUCUGAGGUGAAGGUGGGUGCUCUGAGGUGAAGGUGGGUGCUCUGAGGUGAAGGUAGGUGCUCUGACGUGAAAGUAGGUGCUCUGAGGUGAAGGUAGGUGCUCUGAGGUGAAGGUAGGUGCUCUGAGGUGAAUAAGGUAGGUGCUCUGAGGUGAAUAAGGUAGGUGCUCUGAGGUGAAUAAGGUAGGUGCUCUGAGGUGAAUAAGGUAGGUGCUCUGAGGUGAAUAAGGUAGGUGCUCUGAGGUGAAUAAGGUAGGUGCUCUGAUGUGAAUAAGGUGGGUGCUCUGAUGUGAAGCUGGGUGCUCUGAUUUGAAGGUGGGUGCUCUGAUGUGAAGGUAGGUGCUCUGAGGUGAAGAUGGGUGCUCUGAGGUGAAGGUGGGUGCUCUGAUGUGAAGCUGGGUGCUCUGAUGUGAAGGUGGGUGCUCUGAGGUGAAGGUGGGGCUCUGAGGUGAAGGUGGGUGCUCUGAGGUGAAAGUAGGUACUCUGAG
Molecule: long non-coding RNA, 1444 nt
Filed under: Salmo salar (Atlantic salmon)
Lineage: Eukaryota; Metazoa; Chordata; Actinopteri; Salmoniformes; Salmonidae
Description: lncRNA (ENSSSAG00000102986.1)
Source: RNAcentral